AUGUGGUCACGAAAAACAGCCUAAAUUAGUGACCAUUUGGCCUCUUUGCUGUCAUUUGAGCUUGAUUUCAAUUUCGUGUCGUUCGAUUAGCCCCGUCUUGUGCUCAGGUCAGGUGAAGAACUUUGGUUUGUACGAUUGGGUACAGAAAUUUCUCGCUGAUUUUCAAUGAACAGCUCAAAGAUCGCUCAGAUGUUUCGAUUUUGAGAAACGACCUUGAGCUAGUGAGAUCCUAUUCUGAAAGCAACUUUUGAGACCAUGAACUCCUCUGGUAAGAAAUCUUGGAUCUCUGGCUGUUUGGUUUUCAUCUUCACUUAGUCUUAUUGGUGAGCUUAUGCUCUCUGACUGUUUGAUUCUUGCACUAAUUAUUGAUUUUUUUUUUUUUUUAUCUAAUGCUUUGUGUGGUGUGUGCAGCCGUAUUUUGUCUGUUUAAUAUAUUAAGCCGUUUAAUUCACAUGCCUAUAUUUAUCCCUUUACUAUUUUGAGUCAAAUUCCAAAGUGGAAUCGAAAGGGAAAAAACUUUAUUGAAGUAAAAACUUUAUUGAAGCAGGACUUUUAUAUGUGAUGUAUUUUCAUCUAGCAGUGGACUUGUGAUAAUUUAGCUGCAGGUGACUUAUUAUUUUUAUUAUGUUUUUCCUGUCAGCUUGGUGAAAUCAUUUAAACGUACAUCUGAUUACUGGCCAAUCGAUAUAUUUGUCAAUCUCUAUUUAUCCUCAUUGAUGAGUAUUAAUUUAAAGGAUUUACCAGUGGAGAACAGUUAAAGGAUCAGGAUACUACUCAGACAAAUUUGACUCUUCUUGCUAGUUUGGCUCGGCAGGGAAGAAUGUUUCUUAACCUUUCACUCUCUAAGCUAGAAAUUCAUGAAGAGGUACGAAUCUCUUUGGUUUAUUUCAUUAUUUCACAUUUGACUAUUUUGGUUUGAUCUUCAUCAAGAUCUUGCUACCUUCAUUUCCAUAGUAUCUAUCAUGACACUUUGCCACAGUUUUUUAAGGGCCUUAAUAUCACAACAUGGCAUAAAAAAUUCUUCACAACAAGCAUUUCAAACAUAUUAUGGUGCAACAGCAAACCCUUCAAUCCGAGCAACCUGUAAGAGUUAUGUGGCCUAGCUUAAGAUAGUUAUAGUUUUACUUUACUAUCUUUCUUUCUGGGUCUAGAGGGAGAGGGUUAGAUGUUGAUUUUACACCUUAUAUGUAUGCUUUAUUUAUGUUGGACAGAGCUUCUAAUUUAUUUUGUUGCUAAUGAUAUUUGUUUCUUUAUUUCAAUAGUGGAAUACUGGUUUUGAUUGUAAUUAAUGCAUUUUCGUGAUA
This is a long non-coding RNA of Prunus persica (peach), 1304 nucleotides long. RefSeq lists it as uncharacterized. Lineage: Eukaryota; Viridiplantae; Streptophyta; Magnoliopsida; Rosales; Rosaceae. The transcript is spliced from 3 exons. The record is from RefSeq and is a predicted model, not a curated record.